Molecule: ribosomal RNA, 956 nt
Filed under: Sphaeropsis porosa
Lineage: Eukaryota; Fungi; Ascomycota; Dothideomycetes; Botryosphaeriales; Botryosphaeriaceae
Description: eukaryotic LSU rRNA
Rfam family: Eukaryotic large subunit ribosomal RNA
Source: RNAcentral
GGUUGACCUCGGAUCAGGUAGGGAUACCCGCUGAACUUAAGCAUAUCAAUAAGCGGAGGAAAAGAAACCAACAGGGAUUGCCUUAGUAACGGCGAGUGAAGCGGCAACAGCUCAAAUUUGAAAGCUGGCCCUUUUAGGGUCCGCGUUGUAAUUUGUAGAGGAUGAUUCGGCGAGGGCUCCCGCCUAAGUCCCCUGGAACGGGGCGUCAUAGAGGGUGAGAAUCCCGUAUGCGGUGGGCUGCCUUAGCCAUGUGAAUCUCCUUCGACGAGUCGAGUUGUUUGGGAAUGCAGCUCUAAAUGGGAGGUAAAUUUCUUCUAAAGCUAAAUACCGGCCAGAGACCGAUAGCGCACAAGUAGAGUGAUCGAAAGAUGAAAAGCACUUUGGAAAGAGAGUUAAAAAGUACGUGAAAUUGUUGAAAGGGAAGCGCUUGCAACCAGACUUGUCCGCAGUUGCUCAGCCGGUCUCCUGACCGGCGUACUCUUCUGCGGCCAGGCCAGCAUCAGUUCGGGCGGUCGGAUAAAGACCUCGGGAAUGUAGCUCCUCUCGGGGAGUGUUAUAGCCCGGGGUGGAAUGCGGCCAGCCUGGACUGAGGAUCUCGCUUCGGCAAGGAUGCUGGCGUAAUGGUUGUAAGCGGCCCGUCUUGAAACACGGACCAAGGAGUCUAACAUCUAUGCGAGUGUUUGGGUGUCAAACCCAUACGCGUAAUGAAAGUGAACGGAGGUGGGAACCCGCAAGGGCGCACCAUCGGCCGAUCCUGAUGUCUUCGGAUGGAUUUGAGCAAGAGCAUAGCUGUUGGGACCCGAAAGAUGGUGAACUAUGCCUGAAUAGGGUGAAGCCAGAGGAAACUCUGGUGGAGGCUCGCAGCGGUUCUGACGUGCAAAUCGAUCGUCAAAUUUGGGUAUAGGGGCGAAAGACUAAUCGAACCAUCUAGUAGCUGGUUCCUGCCGAAGUUUCCC